UAUGUGUAGUGCUACACAGAUACAUGGUAAACCUUUACUGCUGGUUCUGUGGUAAUGUUCAAACAGUCUCUUCUUUGAUGCUCAGAGGGUUUAUUACUGCAAGCAACACUGCAGUUCUGUGGUUAAUGGUUGUUUUAUGUGCUAUAUCUGUUCAGAUCAGAUGCCGUGCUACAAAAUUUGUGGUGAUCAGUAGAUAAAACUAAGACAUUUUAUUCUUUUAACAUUUGUUAGUGUUACCACAGUGGCACAUUCGUUUUAGUUUGCUUUUUUCUUAAUUUUACUUAAAUGUCUUAAUUUGUACGUUACCGUAUUUCAAAACUUUGCUUAUUAUAAAAUGUCCCGAGAAGCAGAGGUUCUCCCAUCAGUCUCAGCUAAAUUUUGCAUUAGCACUGAAACUGGAAAUGGACAAAGUUGCUGUUGUGAAUGGGGUCUGACUCACUUGAAUAACAAGUCAGCCGGUGGUGACCCUGUGAACCGAUUUGGCUCCAAUUACCGGUACUCUGAUUAUUAGCACCAGCCUUCAGAAGGAAAACAUGGCCUACUGAAUCACAAAACUGAAAAUAAAAUAAAAAUAAAAAUAAAAAUAAAAAAAAUAAAGAAAAAACACUUUGCCCGGUUUUUCAAAAUCAGUCUGAAAUUAAGUUCUGCGAUUUUUACUCACAUUUUUCAUUGAGGACUGAACCAAAAAUUUUGAAUCACUUUUUUUUAGAUGUGUGCUCCCUGAGCUCUCCUUGAGCAAGAAAUUAGUUUAAAAUUUUCUUUAAUGCCACGUUUGAUUCUCUGACAGGAGACAACGUUCACAGACGCUUCAGGCUGCAGCCACCGUGUUGGAACAUGCCCCCGCCAACGUUCAACGGAAAAAAAAAAAAAAAAGAACUGCCAAGAGAUAAUCAUUGAAGCAUGACCCACAGAUUCAUGAUCAGUAAUUCACCGCACAGUGUGGCUAAGGAUCCGGCAUCAGCUGGUUUUAAGAAUCACUCCUCCCCUGAAAAACAGAAGGAGUUCACAGUUUCUGAGUGGACUCCGCCAUGAGGGUGAGGGGACACACCUGAGCGAGCGGCACCUUUUGCUUAACUUUUUAGGAAGAGGCCAUUCUUCAUGCAAGUUUGCUCUGCCUUCUGCUCACUUUUUUUUGGCGUGCAUACCUAACUGGCGGGAAUGCAGUUGUGCUGCAGCUGAGAAACAGUCAGACUUGUGGCUACAAGCACACAGCUUAUUGCAUCACAUCCAAUGCAGGAAGACGUUGGUGCAUAAUGCCACCAUUUCUGGCUCUUUAACUUGUAAAAUGAGAGACGCUUGGGUCAACACCCCUCUGCUGCUGCUGCUGCUGCUACUGGCCAGUCUGACCAGAACAGCAAUUUCCCAAGACAAUGAAGGUGCUGAAAACACUGAAGACACUGAAAAUACUGAAAAUACUGAAAAUGAUGAAAAUGUUGAAAAGGCUGAAGAGGUUUCAGACUUAGCUUCAGACAACACGCAAGAUGGUAAUACUGUUAUUUUUUUUAUCACAUAUAAAGAAAUUAGAGUGACAUAAUAAUACACUAUUAUUAAAGCUUACAGGUAUUACAGUACAAGACUUUUAGUUGAAAAAUAUAAUGAAGUUAGAAAUUUGUUUCCCACCACCUCUUA
Long non-coding RNA from Oryzias sinensis (Chinese medaka), 1629 nucleotides. NCBI's taxonomy places the organism in Eukaryota, Metazoa, Chordata, Actinopteri, Beloniformes, Adrianichthyidae. The record is from Ensembl.